Molecule: ribosomal RNA, 119 nt
Filed under: Pteropus alecto (black flying fox)
Lineage: Eukaryota; Metazoa; Chordata; Mammalia; Chiroptera; Pteropodidae
Source: RNAcentral
GUCCACGGCCAUGCUACUCCGAACAAGCCUGAUCCCAUCUGACCUUGGAAGCUAAGCAGGGUCAGGCCUGGUUAGUACUUGGAUGGGAGACCACCUAGGAAGACCAAGUGCUGUAGGUG